RNAcentral lists this ribosomal RNA (451 nucleotides) under uncultured bacterium. Its description in RNAcentral is "bacterial SSU rRNA". It matches the Rfam family "Bacterial small subunit ribosomal RNA", at positions 28 to 524 of the family's 1533-position model. The record is from RNAcentral.
GAUGAACGCUGGCGAGAUGCCUUACACAUGCAAGUCGUACGAGAGUUUUUAACUCAAGUGGCGGACGGGUGAGUAACACGUAAGAAUUUGCCUUUAGGAGGGGGACAACAACUGGAAACGGUUGCUAAUACCCCAUAUGCUUUCGAGUGAAAUGGAUUUUCCGCCUAGAGAGAAGCUUGCGGCUGAUUAGCUUGUUGGUGAGGUAAUGGCUCACCAAGGCGACGAUCAGUAUCUGGUUUGAGAGGACGAUCAGACACACUGGAACUGAGACACGGUCCAGACUCCUACGGGAGGCAGCAGUGGGAAUUUUCCGCAAUGGGCGAAAGCCUGACGGAGCAAGACCGCGUGGGGGAGGAAGGUUUUUGGAUCGUAAACCCUUUGUCAAGGAAGAAGCUCUGACGGUACUUGACGAAUAAGCCUCGGCUAACUCCGUGCCAGCCGCCGCGGUAAU